Molecule: ribosomal RNA, 164 nt
Filed under: uncultured bacterium
Lineage: Bacteria
Description: partial 16S ribosomal RNA
Rfam family: Bacterial small subunit ribosomal RNA
Source: RNAcentral
CAGCCAUGCCGCGUGUGUGAAGAAGGUCUUCGGAUUGUAAAGCACUUUAAGUUGGGAGGAAGGGUAGUAACUUAAUACGUUGCUAUUUUGACGUUACCGACAGAAUAAGCACCGGCUAACUCUGUGCCAGCAGCCGCGGUAAUACAGAGGGUGCAAGCGUUAAU